AAGCUCGUAGUUGAAUUUCGGGGUUAGUAGGUUGGUCAUGCCUCUGGUAUGUACUGGUCUCACUGAUUCCUCCUUCCUGAUGAACCGUAAUGCCAUUAAUUUGGUGUUGCGGGGAAUUUGGACUGUUACUUUGAAAAAAUUAGAGUGUUUAAAGCAAGCUAACGCUUGAAUACAUUAGCAUGGAAUAAUGAAAUAGGACGUUCGAUCCUAUUUUGUUGGUUUCUAGGAUUGACGUAAUGAUUAAUAGGGAUAGUUGGGGGCAUUAGUAUUCAAUUGUCAGAGGUGAAAUUCUUGGAUUUAUUGAAGACUAACUACUGCGAAAGCAUUUGCCAAGGAUGUUUUCAUUAAUCAAGAACGAAAGUUAGGGGAUCGAAGACGAUCAGAUACCGUCGUAGUCUUAACCAUAAACUAUGCCGACUAGGGAUCGGAUGAUGUUAAUUUUUUAAUGACUCAUUCGGCGCCUUACGGGAAACCAAAGUGUUUGGGUUCCGAGGGGAGUAUGGUCGCAAGGCCGAAACUUAAAGGAAUUGACGGAACGGCACCACCAGGGGUGGAGCCUGCGGCUUAAUUUGACUCAACACGGGGAAA
RNAcentral lists this ribosomal RNA (588 nucleotides) under uncultured Glomus. RNAcentral's name for it is "SSU rRNA". It matches the Rfam family "Eukaryotic small subunit ribosomal RNA", at positions 624 to 1213 of the family's 1831-position model. Lineage: Eukaryota; Fungi; Glomeromycota; Glomeromycetes; Glomerales; Glomeraceae. The record is from RNAcentral.